UACGGAGGAUGCGAGCGUUAUCCGGAUUUAUUGGGUUUAAAGGGUGCGUAGGCGGCCUAGUAAGUCAGCGGUGAAAUUUUGCAGCUUAACUGUAACAGUGCCGUUGAUACUGCAUGGCUAGGAUUUGGUUGCUGUGGGUGGAAUGUGUGGUGUAGCGGUGAAAUGCUUAGAUAUCACACAGAAUAUCAAUUGCGAAGGCAGCUCACAAAGCCAAGAUUGACGCUGAGGCACGAAAGUGUGGGGAGUCAAACA
This 252-nucleotide ribosomal RNA is filed under the name uncultured prokaryote. Its description in RNAcentral is "partial 16S ribosomal RNA". It matches the Rfam family "Bacterial small subunit ribosomal RNA", at positions 524 to 775 of the family's 1533-position model. The record is from RNAcentral.